Molecule: ribosomal RNA, 362 nt
Filed under: uncultured bacterium
Lineage: Bacteria
Description: partial 16S ribosomal RNA
Rfam family: Bacterial small subunit ribosomal RNA
Source: RNAcentral
CCUACGGGUGGCAGCAGUGAGGAAUAUUGGUCAAUGGCCGGAAGGCUGAACCAGCCAAGUCGCGUGAGGGACGACUGCCCUAUGGGUUGUAAACAUCUUUUAUAAGGGUAGAAUAAAUGCUACGUGUAGCUUGAUUCCUGUACCUUAUGAAUAAGCAUCGGAUAACUUCGUUCCAGCAGCGGCGCUAAUACGGAGGAGGCGAGCGUUAUCCGGAUUUAUGGGGCUUAAAGUGUGCGUAGGGGGUUUUUUAAGUUAGUGGGUAAACGUCGGGCCUUCACCUUGAUUUGCCAGUAAUACUGUAAGACUCGAGUUCAGACGAGGGAGGCGGAAUAAGUGAAGUAGCGGUGAAAUGCUUAGAGAUA